ACGAGUGAGGGUCGUUUAGGCCCGACCUCCCAACCCUUUGUUUACCGAACCUCUGUUGCUUCGGCGGACCCGCCUCACGGCCGCCGGAGGAUUGCCGACAGGCGUCCUCUGGCCCGCGUCCGCCGACGGCCAACCACUUAAACUCUGAAUAAAUCGUGUCAUAUGUCUAAGUCUAUGAUUAAAUUAAAGCA
Molecule: unclassified non-coding RNA, 191 nt
Filed under: uncultured Cladophialophora
Lineage: Eukaryota; Fungi; Ascomycota; Eurotiomycetes; Chaetothyriales; Herpotrichiellaceae
Description: sequence contains ITS1
Source: RNAcentral